Non-coding RNA from Sesamum indicum (sesame), 408 nucleotides. NCBI's taxonomy places the organism in Eukaryota, Viridiplantae, Streptophyta, Magnoliopsida, Lamiales, Pedaliaceae. The record is from RefSeq and is a predicted model, not a curated record.
CUUUUAUGAAGCCCGUCGGCUUUCGAACAAUGGUUAGAUGAAGGUUGCCUGGAACGCAGAAUUGAGAGCUAAUUACAGCAGUACCGUUCUGCCUUAGAGAUUAUGGUAUAUAGCCUGUGCCUAGCUUAGUAAAAAAGCAUCAGAUCGACUACACAUUGAUAUCAAGAUGAAAGGUAUUGAUUCAUGCAUGUAUUUGGGGGAUUCUAUCAGGGUCAGGGAAGCUGAGGGUGGAUGCUGAGAGCUGCCUUGGCGCCUCAGAAGGAAAAGAAUAAUUUCGUUGUCCUCGAAAGGUUAGAAUAGAAAAAAGAAAUAUGUUAGAACAGAUUGAAGAGAUUUUCUUUUUCUUUUCCUACCUUUCUUCUUCUGUUGCUAAUAGCUCAAAGGCAAAAAAAGGAGAAGGCUAUUUUU